UGGGGAAUAUUGCACAAUGGGCGAAAGCCUGAUGCAGCAACGCCGCGUGAGGGAUGACGGCCUUCGGGUUGUAAACCUCUUUUAGUAGGGAAGAAGCGAAAGUGACGGUACCUGCAGAAAAAGCACCGGCUAACUACGUGCCAGCAGCCGCGGUAAUACGUAGGGUGCAAGCGUUGUCCGGAAUUAUUGGGCGUAAAGAGCUCGUAGGCGGUUUGUCGCGUCUGCUGUGAAAUCCCGAGGCUCAACCUCGGGCUUGCAGUGGGUACGGGCAGACUAGAGUGCGGUAGGGGAGAUUGGAAUUCCUGGUGUAGCGGUGGAAUGCGCAGAUAUCAGGAGGAACACCGAUGGCGAAGGCAGAUCUCUGGGCCGUAACUGACGCUGAGGAGCGAAAGCGUGGGGAGCGAACAGGAUUAGAUACCCUGGUAGUCCACGCCGUAAACGUUGGGCGCUAGAUGUAGGGACCUUUCCACGGUUUCUGUGUCGUAGCUAACGCAUUAAGCGCCCCGCCUGGGGAGUACGGCCGCAAGGCUAAAACUCAAAGGAAUUGACGGGGGCCCGCACAAGCGGCGGAGCAUGCGGAUUAAUUCGAUGC
This 592-nucleotide ribosomal RNA is filed under the name uncultured Curtobacterium sp. RNAcentral describes it as "bacterial SSU rRNA". It matches the Rfam family "Bacterial small subunit ribosomal RNA", at positions 355 to 957 of the family's 1533-position model. Lineage: Bacteria; Bacillati; Actinomycetota; Actinomycetes; Micrococcales; Microbacteriaceae. The record is from RNAcentral.